This 268-nucleotide long non-coding RNA is filed under the name Gallus gallus (chicken). Its description in RNAcentral is "long non-coding RNA NONGGAT007830". The record is from RNAcentral. Lineage: Eukaryota; Metazoa; Chordata; Aves; Galliformes; Phasianidae.
GGUUGAGGAGAGGAACAGAGUGUCUGACUGACUGACCUGGGGACUGUAAAGGCCCUCAGCACACAAAGCUCUCUGCCUCAGAAGCUGGGAUGAAGAGAUGAAGCCCAGAAUCCCCUGUGGUCCUCGUUUUGCACACUACCGUACAGCUCCUACAUUUCUGUGGUUUGCAUUCCCCCGUGAAGCAGCCAAAUGAAUAAACAUUAAAGAUGGAGACCGAAAGAGCAAUAUUCUUGCUAAAGAAGCUCUCUCUUUCAAAAAUCAAUGAGAU